AGUAAAAUGCCUGAAUAAAAGGGUUAUCUUGAUAGGAUAAAUAAUGUAAUUUUGACUUUUACUA
Molecule: transfer RNA, 64 nt
Filed under: Amblyomma americanum (Lone Star tick)
Lineage: Eukaryota; Metazoa; Arthropoda; Arachnida; Ixodida; Ixodidae
Description: tRNA-Ile
Source: RNAcentral